UGGUGCAGUUAUUUGGUUACGAUUCUUCGAAUCAGACAGUUAUACCAACAAAAUUCUUCGGAUCAGACGGUUGCAUCCAGAUAGGAUUGACAACCAUGGCCAGUUAGUGUCUACCUUUUGAACUUAAGCCUGGUCGAUCUACUUCUGAGAAAAGAUCAGAGAGUAUGAUGUGCCGACUAGGAAUUGAGACUAAUAGUUUUUCGACUAAGGCUUGAUUAAAUGGGUUGAUUUAGAAGUCUAGCCGAUCCACUGCUGUUAUGCUGGCC
Molecule: long non-coding RNA, 266 nt
Filed under: Elaeis guineensis (African oil palm)
Lineage: Eukaryota; Viridiplantae; Streptophyta; Magnoliopsida; Arecales; Arecaceae
Description: long non-coding RNA (EGUI_LNC015576)
Source: RNAcentral